UACGUAGGGUGCGAGCGUUAAUCGGAAUUACUGGGCGUAAAGCGUGCGCAGGCGGUUCGUUAAGUCAGAUGUGAAAGCCCCGGGCUCAACCUGGGAACUGCAUUUGAAACUGGCGGGCUUGAGUGUGGCAGAGGGGGGUGGAAUUCCGCGUGUAGCAGUGAAAUGCGUAGAGAUGCGGAGGAACACCGAUGGCGAAGGCAGCCCCCUGGGCCAACACUGACGCUCAGGCACGAAAGCGUGGGGAGCAGACAGG
Molecule: ribosomal RNA, 253 nt
Filed under: uncultured bacterium
Lineage: Bacteria
Description: partial 16S ribosomal RNA
Rfam family: Bacterial small subunit ribosomal RNA
Source: RNAcentral